GGCUCAUUGCUUUAGGGGUAUGAUUCUUGCUUUGGUUGCAAGAAGUCCUGGGUUCAAAUCCCAGACGAGCCC
This is a non-coding RNA of Danio rerio (zebrafish), 72 nucleotides long. The record is from Rfam. NCBI's taxonomy places the organism in Eukaryota, Metazoa, Chordata, Actinopteri, Cypriniformes, Danionidae.